Molecule: non-coding RNA, 142 nt
Organism: Gossypium arboreum
Lineage: Eukaryota; Viridiplantae; Streptophyta; Magnoliopsida; Malvales; Malvaceae
Source: Rfam
AAUUAAAACUUUCAUCUAUUUCUAUGGUUAAAAACUAGUUUGUUUGAUUAAAUAGCCAAACAGUUACAUAUAACAUGCUACGUAUACCUCAUGUCAACGUACAUGGGCCAAAUUUUAAUAGAAAUAGAUGAAAUUUUUAAUA